UUAUGGGGAGACAAUGAAGUAUAUUCUGUAUUUGGGCACUUGGGAUAUAUGGAGUCAGUAGUGCAACCGGUCUC
This 74-nucleotide non-coding RNA is filed under the name uncultured Garciella sp. Its description in RNAcentral is "Cyclic di-GMP-II riboswitch". It matches the Rfam family "Cyclic di-GMP-II riboswitch aptamer", at positions 8 to 77 of the family's 84-position model. The record is from RNAcentral. Lineage: Bacteria; Bacillati; Bacillota; Clostridia; Eubacteriales; Eubacteriaceae.